RNAcentral lists this transfer RNA (59 nucleotides) under Tropilaelaps mercedesae. It matches the Rfam family "tRNA", at positions 8 to 63 of the family's 71-position model. From Rfam's summary of the family: Transfer RNA (tRNA) molecules are approximately 80 nucleotides in length. Their secondary structure includes four short double-helical elements and three loops (D, anti-codon, and T loops). Lineage: Eukaryota; Metazoa; Arthropoda; Arachnida; Mesostigmata; Laelapidae. The record is from Rfam by way of RNAcentral.
UAGCUCAGUCGGUUAGAGCGUCGUGCUAAUAACGCGAAGGUCGUAGGUUCGAUCCCUGN